This 70-nucleotide transfer RNA is filed under the name Chilara taylori (spotted cusk-eel). Its description in RNAcentral is "tRNA-His". It matches the Rfam family "tRNA". Rfam says of the family: Transfer RNA (tRNA) molecules are approximately 80 nucleotides in length. Their secondary structure includes four short double-helical elements and three loops (D, anti-codon, and T loops). Further hydrogen bonds mediate the characteristic L-shaped molecular structure. tRNAs have two regions of fundamental functional importance: the anti-codon, which is responsible for specific mRNA codon recognition, and the 3' end, to which the tRNAs corresponding amino acid is attached (by aminoacyl-tRNA synthetases). tRNAs cope with the degeneracy of the genetic code in two manners: having more than one tRNA (with a specific anti-codon) for a particular amino acid; and 'wobble' base-pairing, i.e. permitting non-standard base-pairing at the 3rd anti-codon position. The record is from RNAcentral. Lineage: Eukaryota; Metazoa; Chordata; Actinopteri; Ophidiiformes; Ophidiidae.
GUCGACAUAGUUUUAACUAAAACACCAGAUUGUGAUUCUGGAGUCGGGGGUUAGAGUCCCCCUGUCCACC